Non-coding RNA from Emiliania huxleyi CCMP1516, 82 nucleotides. The record is from Rfam. Lineage: Eukaryota; Haptophyta; Isochrysidales; Noelaerhabdaceae.
GCAAUCGUGCCCGAGUGGUCAAGGGGGUGGACUUGAAAUCCACUGGGCUCCGCCCGCGCGAGUUCGAACCUCGUCGAUUGCG